AUUGAACGCUGGCGGCAUGCUUUUACACAUGCAAGUCGGACGGCAGCACAGAGAAGCUUGCUUCUUGGGUGGCGAGUGGCGAACGGGUGAGUAACAUAUCGGAACGUACCGAGUAAUGGGGGAUAACUAAUCGAAAGAUUAGCUAAUACCGCAUAUUCUCUGAGGAGGAAAGCAGGGGACCUUCGGGCCUUGCGUUAUUCGAGCGGCCGAUAUCUGAUUAGCUAGUUGGUGGGGUAAAGGCCUACCAAGGCGACGAUCAGUAGCGGGUCUGAGAGGAUGAUCCGCCACACUGGGACUGAGACACGGCCCAGACUCCUACGGGAGGCAGCAGUGGGGAAUUUUGGACAAUGGGCGCAAGCCUGAUCCAGCCAUGCCGCGUGUCUGAAGAAGGCCUUCGGGUUGUAAAGGACUUUUGUCAGGGAAGAAAAGGCUGUUGCUAAUAUCGACAGCUGAUGACGGUACCUGAAGAAUAAGCACCGGCUAACUACGUG
RNAcentral lists this ribosomal RNA (491 nucleotides) under uncultured bacterium. RNAcentral describes it as "bacterial SSU rRNA". It matches the Rfam family "Bacterial small subunit ribosomal RNA", at positions 30 to 507 of the family's 1533-position model. The record is from RNAcentral.